Molecule: ribosomal RNA, 491 nt
Filed under: uncultured bacterium
Lineage: Bacteria
Description: partial 16S ribosomal RNA
Rfam family: Bacterial small subunit ribosomal RNA
Source: RNAcentral
GUGCACGCUGGCGGUAGGCCUAACACCUGCAAGUCGAACGGCAGCACAGUAAGAGCUUGCUCUUACGGGUGGCGAGUGGCGGACGGGUGAGGAAUACAUCGGAAUCUACUUUUUCGUGGGGGAUAACGUAGGGAAACUUACGCUAAUACCGCAUACGACCUACGGGUGAAAGCAGGGGAUCUUCGGACCUUGCGCGAUUGAAUGAGCCGAUGUCGGAUUAGCUAGUUGGCGGGGUAAAGGCCCACCAAGGCGACGAUCCGUAGCUGGUCUGAGGGGAUGAUCAGCCACACUGGAACUGAGACACGGUCCAGACUCCUACGGGAGGCAGCAGUGGGGAAUAUUGGACAAUGGGCGCAAGCCUGAUCCAGCCAUACCGCGUGGGUGAAGAAGGCCUUCGGGUUGUAAAGCCCUUUUGUUGGGAAAGAAAAGCAGCAGGUUAAUACCCCGCUGUUCUGACGGUACCCAAAGAAUAAGCACCGGCUAACUUCGUG